RNAcentral lists this ribosomal RNA (494 nucleotides) under uncultured bacterium. RNAcentral describes it as "bacterial SSU rRNA". It matches the Rfam family "Bacterial small subunit ribosomal RNA", at positions 28 to 490 of the family's 1533-position model. The record is from RNAcentral.
GACGAACGCUGGCGGCGUGCCUAAUACAUGCAAGUCGAACGAAGCUUUCUUUCACCGAAUGCUUGCAUUCACCGAAAGAAGCUUAGUGGCGAACGGGUGAGUAACACGUAGGCAACCUGCCCAAAAGAGGGGGAUAACACUUGGAAACAGGUGCUAAUACCGCAUAACCAUGAACACCGCAUGAUGUUCAUGUAAAAGACGGCUUUUGCUGUCACUUUUGGAUGGGCCUGCGGCGUAUUAACUUGUUGGUGGGGUAACGGCCUACCAAGGUGAUGAUACGUAGCCGAACUGAGAGGUUGAUCGGCCACAUUGGGACUGAGACACGGCCCAAACUCCUACGGGAGGCAGCAGUAGGGAAUCUUCCACAAUGGACGAAAGUCUGAUGGAGCAGCGCCGCGUGAAUGAAGAAGGCCUUCGGGUCGUAAAUUCUGUUGUCAGAGAAGAACGUGCGUGAGAGUAACUGUUCACGUAUUGUACGGUAUCUGACCAGAAAG